GUGAGGAAUAUUGGUCAAUGGGCGAAAGCCUGAACCAGCCAUGUCGCGUGAAGGAUGAAGGUCCUAUGGAUUGUAAACUUCUUUUGCAGGAGGGUAAAGUGAGCUACGUGUAGUUCAUUGCAAGUACCCUGCGAAUAAGCAUCGGCUAACUCCGUGCCAGCAGCCGCGGUAAUACGGAGGAUGCGAGCGUUAUCCGGAUUUAUUGGGUUUAAAGGGUGCGUAGGCGGACUAAUUAGUCAGCGGUGAAAUUUUGUGGCUCAACCGUAAAACUGCCGUUGAAACUGUUAGUCUUGAGUGCGGUAGAGGUAGGCGGAAUGUGUGGUGUAGCGGUGAAAUGCUUAGAUAUCACACAGAACACCGAUUGCGUAGGCAGCUUACUGGAGCGCAACUGACGCUGAGGCACGAAAGCGUGGGGAUCGAACAGGAUUAGAAACCCGGGUAGUCC
This 445-nucleotide ribosomal RNA is filed under the name uncultured bacterium. RNAcentral describes it as "partial 16S ribosomal RNA". It matches the Rfam family "Bacterial small subunit ribosomal RNA", at positions 354 to 796 of the family's 1533-position model. The record is from RNAcentral.